RNAcentral lists this ribosomal RNA (180 nucleotides) under uncultured bacterium. RNAcentral describes it as "partial 16S ribosomal RNA". It matches the Rfam family "Bacterial small subunit ribosomal RNA", at positions 332 to 508 of the family's 1533-position model. The record is from RNAcentral.
CAGACUCCUACGGGAGGCAGCAGUGAGGAAUAUUGGUCAAUGGACGAGAGUCUGAACCAGCCAAGUAGCGUGCAGGAUGACGGCCCUAUGGGUUGUAAAACUGCUUUUAUAAGGGAAUAAAGUGAGUCUCGUGAGACUUUUUGCAUGUACCUUAUGAAUAAGGACCGGCUAAUUCCGUGC